AAGAUCUCAGUGGUUAUUGGCAAAAGGAGACAUGAAGAUAAAAGACGAAACAUAUUUAACUUUGAAGUGCCUUCUUCAGAAGAUAGAGCUUCUCUUCCUUUUCUUGUCCCCUGCUAUUUCACUAAAACCUGGAUGUAGUUUUCAAGACCUCAACCACCAGAAGACCAAUUCGCAGCCCAUAACCUAAAGAGGUGGUCGUCAUCAAGAAAAGACCAGUAUGGAGAGAAAAAUACAAUGUCCAUCAGUAUACUAGCCUUGUUUUUGAUAGGAGCUGAAAGCAGGAUUGAUUGGGGUAAUAAUGGAAUGAAUUGUGGUACAUAAAUUUAAUGGAAUAUCACUGCGUUCUCAGGAACGAUGAAUAGGAAGGAUUCAGGGAAACAUAGGAAGAGUUGUAUGAAGUGAUUACAGAGUAAAGACAGCAGAACUGAGAGGGCCACAAACUCAAGGACUACAAUAAUGCAAACAAAGUCAACACGGCUAGACAGGCAAAACUCUAGUUAAAUAUAACAUUGCAUGGUAGGGCUGUCCUGACAGAGUUGGUGAAUUCUCCCCCUUUCUAGUAAUAAUGACAUAUUGUUUUGAGGGAAUGUACUUAGCAAGAGGCUUUGUUUAGGUAUUUGUUGAGAAAUAUCUGCUCUGUUUUUGCUUUCUAAACAAAAUAUAGCAAUAAAUUUAACAGAAUCCCUGGCA
RNAcentral lists this long non-coding RNA (690 nucleotides) under Phascolarctos cinereus (koala). RNAcentral describes it as "lncRNA (ENSPCIG00000005005.2)". Lineage: Eukaryota; Metazoa; Chordata; Mammalia; Diprotodontia; Phascolarctidae. The record is from RNAcentral.